This 403-nucleotide long non-coding RNA is filed under the name Cotesia glomerata. Its description in RNAcentral is "uncharacterized LOC123265558". Lineage: Eukaryota; Metazoa; Arthropoda; Insecta; Hymenoptera; Braconidae. The record is from RNAcentral.
AGGGCCCGUAAAAUACUUAACGUAUUAUACUUAGUUUUAUACAUGUAUAAUACACGUAAAUUACCGGUUGGGUUUCUUACGUGACGUAUUUUACGUUAGGUAUUUCAACACCAUCUACCGAACUUUUGAUGAACUUAAAUUAAAUUAUAAUAUCAUAAAGAAAAAAAUAUGCAAAGAGGAGGUCGACCGAAGCACAGUUUUUGGGAAGAAGGAGAAUUUCAGCGUAUUCGUGAAAACGGAAAACAAGUUGCAUCAUGUGUAAAGUGUAAAAAAAUAAUGAAUAAUACCGCUGAACAACGAUUGAAGAGUCACAGGAAGUCGCGUAUUUGGGAAAACUCUGAUUCAAUUUCUGAAUCUGAAGAUAACUGUAAUAUAACAUUGUCUAAAAAACGAAGAAAUCUUU